RNAcentral lists this ribosomal RNA (497 nucleotides) under uncultured bacterium. RNAcentral's name for it is "partial 16S ribosomal RNA". It matches the Rfam family "Bacterial small subunit ribosomal RNA", at positions 28 to 507 of the family's 1533-position model. The record is from RNAcentral.
GACGAACGCUGGCGGCGUGCCUAAUACAUGCAAGUUGAGCGCUGAAGGUUGGUACUUGUACCAACUGGAUGAGCAGCGAACGGGUGAGUAACGCGUGGGGAAUCUGCCUUUGAGCGGGGGACAACAUUUGGAAACGAAUGCUAAUACCGCAUAAAAACUUUAAACACAAGUUUUAAGUUUGAAAGAUGCAAUUGCAUCGCUCAAAGAUGAUCCCGCGUUGUAUUAGCUAGUUGGUGAGGUAAAGGCUCACCAAGACGAUGAUACAUAGCCGACCUGAGAGGGUGAUCGGCCACAUUGGGACUGAGACACGGCCCAAACUCCUACGGGAGGCAGCAGUAGGGAAUCUUCGGCAAUGGACGAAAGUCUGACCGAGCAACGCCGCGUGAGUGAAGAAGGUUUUCGGAUCGUAAAACUCUGUUGGUAGAGAAGAACGUUGGUGAGAGUGGAAAGCUCAUCAAGUGACGGUAACUACCCAGAAAGGGACGGCUAACUACGUG